This 384-nucleotide ribosomal RNA is filed under the name uncultured bacterium. Its description in RNAcentral is "bacterial SSU rRNA". It matches the Rfam family "Bacterial small subunit ribosomal RNA", at positions 29 to 416 of the family's 1533-position model. The record is from RNAcentral.
AUUGAACGCUGGCGGCAUGCUUUACACAUGCAAGUCGAACGGUAACAGGCCUUCGGGUGCUGACGAGUGGCGAACGGGUGAGUAAUGCAUCGGAACGUGCCCAAUCGUGGGGGAUAACGUAGCGAAAGUUACGCUAAUACCGCAUAAGCCCUGAGGGGGAAAGUGGGGGACCACAAGGCCUCACGCGAAUGGAGCGGCCGAUGUCAGAUUAGCUAGUUGGUGGGGUAAAGGCCCACCAAGGCGACGAUCUGUAGCGGGUCUGAGAGGAUGAUCCGCCACACUGGGACUGAGACACGGCCCAGACUCCUACGGGAGGCAGCAGUGGGGAAUUUUGGACAAUGGGCGCAAGCCUGAUCCAGCCAUGUUGCGUGCGGGACGAAGGCC